RNAcentral lists this ribosomal RNA (459 nucleotides) under uncultured bacterium. RNAcentral describes it as "partial 16S ribosomal RNA". It matches the Rfam family "Bacterial small subunit ribosomal RNA", at positions 338 to 795 of the family's 1533-position model. The record is from RNAcentral.
CCUACGGGUGGCAGCAGUGAGGAAUAUUGGUCAAUGGCCGAGAGGCUGAACCAGCCAAGUCGCGUGAGGGAAGAAUGUCCUAUGGAUUGUAAACCUCUUUUGUCAGGGAGCAAAGUCACCCACGUGUGGGUGUUGGAGAGUACCUGAAGAAAAAGCAUCGGCUAACUCCGUGCCAGCAGCCGCGGUAAUACGGAGGAUGCGAGCGUUAUCCGGAUUUAUUGGGUUUAAAGGGAGCGUAGGCGGUUCCAUAAGUCAGCGGUAAAAUCGUGCGGCUCAACCGUACCGUGCCGUUGAAACUGUGGGACUUGAGUAUGCGCAGGGUACAUGGAAUUCGUGGUGUAGCGGUGAAAUGCUUAGAUAUCACGAAGAACUCCGAUCGCGAAGGCAUUGUACCGGAGCAAGACUGACGCUGAGGCUCGAAAGUGCGGGUAUCAAACAGGAUUAGAUACCCGGGUAGUC